RNAcentral lists this ribosomal RNA (253 nucleotides) under uncultured bacterium. Its description in RNAcentral is "partial 16S ribosomal RNA". It matches the Rfam family "Bacterial small subunit ribosomal RNA", at positions 524 to 776 of the family's 1533-position model. The record is from RNAcentral.
UACGUAGGGUGCAAGCGUUAAUCGGAAUUACUGGGCGUAAAGCGUGCGCAGGCGGUUGUGCAAGACCGAUGUGAAAUCCCCGGGCUUAACCUGGGAACUGCAUUGGUGACUGCACGGCUAGAGUGUGUCAGAGGGGGGUAGAAUUCCACGUGUAGCAGUGAAAUGCGUAGAGAUGUGGAGGAAUACCGAUGGCGAAGGCAGCCCCCUGGGCCAAUACUGACGCUCAUGCACGAAAGCGUGGGGAGCAAACAGG